RNAcentral lists this ribosomal RNA (250 nucleotides) under uncultured bacterium. RNAcentral describes it as "partial 16S ribosomal RNA". It matches the Rfam family "Bacterial small subunit ribosomal RNA", at positions 524 to 776 of the family's 1533-position model. The record is from RNAcentral.
UACAGAGACUGCAAGCGUUAUUCGGAUUCACUGGGCGUAAGGGUGCGCAGGCGGCCAAGUGUGUUAGGCGUGAAAGCCUGGGCUUAACCCCAGAAUUGCACCUAAACUACAUGGCUAGAGCAUUGGAGAGGGUAGCGGAAUUCACAGUGUAGCAGUGAAAUGCGUAGAUAUCGUGAGGAACACCAGAGGCGAAGGCGGCUACCUGGACAAUUGCUGACGCUCAGGCACGAAAGCGUGGGGAGCAAACAGG